Molecule: ribosomal RNA, 496 nt
Filed under: uncultured bacterium
Lineage: Bacteria
Description: partial 16S ribosomal RNA
Rfam family: Bacterial small subunit ribosomal RNA
Source: RNAcentral
AUGAACGCUGGCGGCGUGCCUAAUCCCUGCAAGUCGAGCGAACAGACGAGGAGCUUGCUCCUCUGACGUUAGCGGCGGACGGGUGAGUAACACGUGGAUAACCUACCUAUAAGACUGGGAUAACUUCGGGAAACCGGAGCUAAUACCGGAUAAUAUAUUGAACCGCAUGGUUCAAUAGUGAAAGACGGUUUUGCUGUCACUUAUAGAUGGAUCCGCGCCGCAUUAGCUAGUUGGUAAGGUAACGGCUUACCAAGGCAACGAUGCGUAGCCGACCUGAGAGGGUGAUCGGCCACACUGGAACUGAGACACGGUCCAGACUCCUACGGGAGGCAGCAGUAGGGAAUCUUCCGCAAUGAGCGAAAGCCUGACGGAGCAACGCCGCGUGAGUGAUGAAGGUCUUCGGAUCGUAAAACUCUGUUAUUAGGGAAGAACAAAUGUGUAAGUAACUAUGCACGUCUUGACGGUACCUAAUCAGAAAGCCACGGCUAACUACGUG